This 1405-nucleotide long non-coding RNA is filed under the name Calidris pygmaea (Spoon-billed sandpiper). RNAcentral's name for it is "lncRNA (ENSCPGG00000003192.1)". The record is from RNAcentral. Lineage: Eukaryota; Metazoa; Chordata; Aves; Charadriiformes; Scolopacidae.
UAUGUCCACUCACGCCCAAAGCUUCCCAACAGACUUGGAUUGCAAAUAAAGUGGCCAAAAAAGAAACCAAGAUCGUGAUGCUGCUUAACCAAAAGAGGGGGAAAUAAACCACAAAUCUCACAUCUCUUCUUGACCGGUCCUACUCUGAGCUCCAUCAGAGGGAUUUUUCUUGUAUGGGUUAUCUUUUACAUGUUUUUGCCCCAGUGCCAGUAUGACCAAAGGCUUUAACACUUGAAAAGUAGUAACAGCAGUGAAGUUCCCUCUUUGUGAUCUGUCUUGCUAGCCCUUGAGUCAAGGUGCAUUUGUCCUGUACCUGCCAUUGGACUAUUGGCCUUUUGCUAAACCAAAACAAUCUAGGCCAUACCGAAAUUGAAAGAAGGCCUUCCUACUCUGCGGCUGUUGUGCAAUCAGUGCUCAUCAAGGAUGGCUGAAGGCACAAGAUGAAACACACCCUGCGUUUGAGGCUAAGGUAUAUUAACCUUUCCACUUGGAAUGCCUAAUUGCUCAAAUAUUGCCAACAUUGUUCAAACUGCCAGAUAUGUUAGGGAACAGGCAGAACUGGAGGGACAACUCUAUAUAAGGGGUAUGACAAAUUUAUUGGGUAAAUUGUAUGGGAGUGCUUAACUCCUCUCUCUGUUCUGUUUUUUUGUAAGGACAACUGCCAAGUAGAGUUGAUCAUGACUAAUUCAUGUGAGGAAAUACAACAGAGAAGUUAAACAGCAACAACCAGUUUAAUUUCACUUGUUACCAAUAAGGCCUAACUUAAUUUUCAAAAGGAGAUGAAAGGGUUACCACCUUCCUCUCCCAUGUGGACGUUGAGUGACACAGGUGAAGUCUUCAGCUGUCCUUCUGAUCCUGAUGGGCCCACCAAAAGCACCAAGGAGCAACCAGCCCUGGCUGAAAAGCAGUGCAGGAGCACAGGAGCCAGAGCCGUGUGGCCAGCGAUGGAGACAAGGAAGAGAGAGAGGGCAUCCCUGCCCCAUCCCUCACAGGGGAUCAGGCUUUUCUCAAGGAUGGUGGAACACUGGGGCUGCUGCCGUGGGGCCCAGUGGCCGCACAGGACCCCCAGACUGGAGGUGCAGGGGUGGAGAACGUGGGGUACCUCAUCAUGGAUGUCAUCGUCAUCAUCAUGGUCACAGCCCAUGUGGGAACAGCGGGACGGGCAGCAUGGACACUGAUACCUGCCCGGUGACAGGCGCAUUCCUCGGCCCCACCGCAUCCACUCAGCCCUGGCUCACGCAAUAAUUAGCCAAGUGUUUCCUGGCUGCCUUUAAUUACAGCCACAGCUAUUUCCCUGGCUCUAAUGUAACGCCUCUGAACGACAGCAAAGGUUUUGGGCUGCAUCCCGCGCGCAGCCCGGUCCCAGCACGUGUUGGGGCGCAGCCGUGCACCGGCAGCCGCUGAU